RNAcentral lists this ribosomal RNA (406 nucleotides) under uncultured bacterium. RNAcentral's name for it is "partial 16S ribosomal RNA". It matches the Rfam family "Bacterial small subunit ribosomal RNA", at positions 29 to 526 of the family's 1533-position model. The record is from RNAcentral.
AUUGAACGCUAGCGGCAGGCCUAACACAUGCAAGUCGAGCGAGCGGCGGACGGGUGAGUAAUGUCGAGGAAACUGCCUGCUGGAGGGGGAUAAGUGCUGGAAACGGUAGCUAAUCACGCAUCACAUCAGAUGAGCCAAGAUGGGAAUAGAGAGGAGGUGGGGUAACGGCGCACCUAGGCGACGAUCCCUAGCUGGUCUGAGAGGAUGACCAGCAACACUGGAACUGAGACAAGGCCCAGACUCCUACGGUAGGCAGCAGUGGGGAAGAUUGGACAAUGGGAGAAACCCUGAUGCAGCUAUGCCGCGUGUAUGAAGAAGGCCGUCGGGUUUUAAAGUACUUUCGGCUGGGAGGCGUUACCUGCAGAAGAAGCACCGGCUAACUCCGUGCCAGCAGCCGCGGUAAUAC